UGCAUCUGUUUUGGCAUUCGUGCGAUUGUGUUUGUCUCCAUACGUAAUUCUCUUUGUAUGCUUCUGUGUAUCACACCCUACUUACGCAGCCUGACCCACAGAGGUAUGGGCUGAACCAAGAAGAGGGGUGAGGUGGGAGGGGGGGUGGGGGGGUGUGAGGAGGCCACAAACUCCUAUAAGACUCUCAGCCUGCCACACACCUUCACACACUGAACCUUAUCACAGGAGACGUACACAGGCAAAGAGCACCACAGCAGAGCACCACAGCAGACAUGGACCUCAUUGGAAAUCUCACCGGCAGCAAGGGCAAGGGCAGUGGCAACAUGGUCGAUAAAGUGAUCGACACUGCAGCUGUCAAAGCCAAAGAACAAAUUGGAUCUAUGAUGGGAGGAAAAAAGCAGGCAGGAGAGCCGGCAGCAAAAGGAGGUAAUCUCAACCAUUCCAAUCAGCGUCUUUCUUUGUCCACCGGAAACUCCCAUAGUUAAGACUAAUUGCACAGUUAAGACUAAUUACACACCAGCACCACAGUUCCCACACAUCAGUUUUAUGCAUUUUAAUUUACUGUUCAUUUACUGCUAAUGAAUGACAAAUAGUUGCAAAACCAGGGCUGGAAAGCGUGCGUUCCUCUGACUGACCCGUGGUGCACCCUCAGGCAUCGGUGACAUGGUGAGCGGAGCGGUGGGGAACAUCGCCGCCGACGCCGCCAAAGACUCCGUCAUGGACGAAGUCACCAAAUUUGGAGGGGAUCUGUUCAAGUGACCACUCCCUCCCUCCCUCCCUCCCUGAUAAAGACUCAUGACAACAUGUCCGGACCACCACCACCACCACCACGUCCCCUCACCCAUGUUUGGAGUCUCAAGGAGCUGCAUGCCAGGAAUGAAUGUUACGCAGUAUGAUCUGCAAUGUGCAUAAUUAACAUAAAUUGAAAAAUAAAACUCUUUUAAUAUU
This is a long non-coding RNA of Anguilla rostrata (American eel), 948 nucleotides long. RefSeq lists it as uncharacterized. The record is from RefSeq and is a predicted model, not a curated record. The transcript has 2 exons. Lineage: Eukaryota; Metazoa; Chordata; Actinopteri; Anguilliformes; Anguillidae.